Molecule: unclassified non-coding RNA, 359 nt
Filed under: Hevea brasiliensis (rubber tree)
Lineage: Eukaryota; Viridiplantae; Streptophyta; Magnoliopsida; Malpighiales; Euphorbiaceae
Source: RNAcentral
UGGUUGGGAAUGGAUCAAAAUGCUCGGCGACGGAUGUCUAGGGAGAGAACUGAUGUGAUUCUGAAAGUAGUUGUGAAGCAUUUCUUUAUAGAGAAGGAAGUCACAUCUACUUUGGUAAUGGAUUCCUUGUAUAGUGGAUUGAAGGCUCUUGAAGGCCAAACUAAGAACAAGAAAGGGAGGGCGAAAUUGAUGGACACUGAAGAAAUGCUAGCUCCAAUUGUUCGUGUGGAGAAAGAAAUGUUCGUAUUGGUGGAUGAUGUCCUGCUACUACUUGAGAGAGCUGCCAUGGAACCACUGCCUCCAAAAGAUGAAAAGGGCCCACAGAAUCGUACAAAGGAUGGAAAUUCUGGUGAGGACUU